RNAcentral lists this ribosomal RNA (253 nucleotides) under uncultured prokaryote. Its description in RNAcentral is "partial 16S ribosomal RNA". It matches the Rfam family "Bacterial small subunit ribosomal RNA", at positions 525 to 777 of the family's 1533-position model. The record is from RNAcentral.
ACGGAGGGUGCGAGCGUUGUCCGGAAUCACUGGGCGUAAAGGGCGCGUAGGUGGCCGAGCAAGGUCGCGGUGAAAGCCCGGGGCUCAACCCCGGGUCGGCCGUGGCAACUACUUGGCUUGAGCACUGUAGGGGCGGGUGGAAUUCCAGGUGUAGCAGUGAAAUGCGUAGAGAUCUGGAGGAACACCGAUGGCGAAGGCAGCCCCCUGGGCUAACACUGACGCUCAUGCACGAAAGCGUGGGGAGCAAACAGGA